This 484-nucleotide ribosomal RNA is filed under the name uncultured bacterium. Its description in RNAcentral is "partial 16S ribosomal RNA". It matches the Rfam family "Bacterial small subunit ribosomal RNA", at positions 30 to 507 of the family's 1533-position model. The record is from RNAcentral.
AUUGAACGCUGGCGGCAGGCCUAACACAUGCAAGUCGAGCGGAUGAAGGGAGCUUGCUCCUGGAUUCAGCGGCGGACGGGGGAGUAAUGCCUAGGAAUCUGCCUGGUAGUGGGGGAUAACGUCCGGAAACGGGCGCUAAUACCGCAUACGUCCUGAGGGAGAAAGUGGGGGAUCUUCGGACCUCACGCUAUCAGAUGAGCCUAGGUCGGAUUAGCUAGUUGGUGGGGUAAAGGCCUACCAAGGCGACGAUCCGUAGCUGGUCUGAGAGGAUGGUCAGUCACACUGGAACGGGGACAGGGUCCAUGCUCCUACGGGACGGACCAGUGGGGAAUAUUGGGCAGUGGGCGGAAGCCUUAUCCAGCCAGGCGGAGUGUGUGAAGAAGGUCUUCCGAUUGGGAAGCACUUUAAGUGGGUAGGAAGCGCAGUAAGUUAAGACCUUGCUGUUGUGACGUUACCAGCAGAAUAAGCACCGGCUAACUUCGUG